AUCAACGCUGGCGGCGUGCCUCAGACAUGCAAGUCGAACGAUUAAAGCUCCCUUCGGGGAGUGCAUAAAGUGGCGCACGGGUGAGUAACACGUAAGUAAUCUACCCUCGGGUGGGGAAUAACGUCCGGAAACGGACGCUAAUACCGCAUAAUGCAGCGGCACCGCAAGGUGACAGUUGUUAAAGAUUUAUUGCCUGGGGAGGAGCUUGCGGCAGAUUAGCUUGUUGGUAAGGAACGGCUUACCAAGGCUACGAUCUGUAUCCGGUCUAAGAGGACGGUCGGACACACUGACACUGAAUAACGGGUCAGACUCCUACGGGAGGCAGCAGUCGGGAAUUUUGGGUCAAUGGGGGAAACCCUGACCCAGCAACGCCGCGUGAAGGAUGAAGUAUUUCGGUAUGUAAAC
Molecule: ribosomal RNA, 405 nt
Filed under: uncultured bacterium
Lineage: Bacteria
Description: bacterial SSU rRNA
Rfam family: Bacterial small subunit ribosomal RNA
Source: RNAcentral